UUAUAACCAAUAGAAAUUUUAUUUUCUUAAAUAUCAUUUAUAUAUCAAAAACCAGUUUUCUUAAAUCUCAUUUGGCUUUGCCUUCCUUGAAUUGAGUUUAACAUGAACCUUCAACAUAAAAAGAAAACCUUAAAUUACCUAUCAACUGCUAGUGCAGAAUUUUAACAUUUUGGUCUUCCUAUCUCAUUGAACAUUUCAUUUAAAUCCUGUGACCCAAACAUUACAAUUUGUUACUAAACCUUAACUUCUACAAAAGGCAAAAAUUAGAAAAAGUUAAUGCACAGCCAAACACACUCAAACAAACAGUGCAUGUACUUUGUUUCAAUUCAAAACAGUGUAUGAAUUCCAACAAUACACGCUACCAAAUUGAUCCAUCACGUAAGUGCUUAAGCA
This 393-nucleotide long non-coding RNA is filed under the name Medicago truncatula (barrel medic). Its description in RNAcentral is "long non-coding RNA (MTRU_LNC005331)". The record is from RNAcentral. Lineage: Eukaryota; Viridiplantae; Streptophyta; Magnoliopsida; Fabales; Fabaceae.